Long non-coding RNA from Schistocerca serialis cubense, 1066 nucleotides. RefSeq lists it as uncharacterized. The record is from RefSeq and is a predicted model, not a curated record. NCBI's taxonomy places the organism in Eukaryota, Metazoa, Arthropoda, Insecta, Orthoptera, Acrididae. The transcript is spliced from 3 exons.
UGACGGUAUAUAAUCGACGCUUUGGUACUUGCACAAUUUUGGCCGAGGUAUCAAAGUAGGAAGGCAUGUGCUGAUGCUGAACAGAGGCAGGCAUGGACGUGGUUGAAUACUGAGGAGGUUGACCUGUAAACGAAGCAGUUCCGGCCAUGCGGAAGGUAUCCGCGUGGUACUGCACGGAUUGCAGCAAGGGAAAUCGUUGUCCUGGAGGUGGUAGGUUGUCCAACGAAGCAUUUGCAGAAAUCGGCAUUGGUCCCGCACUUCAUGGAGAUCCGAAAGAGGCUCGAAAACGUCCGGUGAAAUCAGCAUAAUCGUCAAGUGAGAGGCAUCGUUUUGCAGUCCUGGCGGGCGUACACCACCCACAACACGAUGCAUGUCGAUCACAAAAUCCGGCAUUAGGCGCUGGGCUGAAGUCAUUGUUUGAAUGCUGUGUCCAUGUAAUACACGCGAAAAUAACUGACGCGGAGGUCGCGGACACAGUAAAACGGCGAAAGCGGAAGAUGUUACAACUCGGGGUCACCAGUGAGGGAGAUGUUCGGGUUAGUUACACCAAACAACCCCCAUUUCGCAGUAGUUCAUUUAUUCACCCAAGCACAAGCAAGGCUCACAAAGAACUGGACAUGGCGGAAGAGGCCAAAGAUAAUCUUAGCUUAGUUCAAAGGUGGAUGCAUAGGUGUUGGUGUUGAUUUCAUCGGCGCCACAGUAUUAUUUCCACUGUAUGUGACCGAGACACCACAAAAACUUCUUAUUUUAGUUAUUUCCAUGCAUUAUUGCCAUAUGGCAUAGUCCAGCCUAGACAUUCUUGUAGGAACCUUUUCAAAAAAUUAGGGAUACUGACAACUGCAUGCCAAUAUAUCUACUCCCUGUUAUGUUUCAUUGGUAAACAUGGACAAUCGUACAAAAGCAAUGAUUCAUACGAAACCCUCAAUACCAGGAGGAAGAUGGACCUCCAUUAUGAAUACAAAACCUUACUAUUGUACAAAAAGGAGUCCAUUACAUGAGCUGCAAGGUGUUCAAUUGUCUCCCACCAUCACUGAAAUUACUUAUCCACGAGCUUCCCAAAUUUAAA